UUAAUUUUCAUUCAAAAAUUAGAAUAACAUCAGACAAAAUCGUAAAGACAGGUUUGAUAUUUAUGCUGUCGGCAGGCUCACAACCCAACCGUUUAAGGCGAGCCAGCUGCCGAAGCGAAAAAAGUUUUUGAUUCACAAGAUGUUGAACUCUGCUCCGGGCUAACCCGGCACAAAGCGUGUCAAGAAGACAACUAUUAAUGAUCCUUCCGCAGGUUCACCUACGGAAA
This 227-nucleotide unclassified non-coding RNA is filed under the name uncultured fungus. RNAcentral's name for it is "sequence contains ITS1". Lineage: Eukaryota; Fungi. The record is from RNAcentral.